GAUGAACGCUGGCGGCGUGCCUAAUACAUGCAAGUCGAGCGAACGGACGAGAAGCUUGCGUCUCUGAUGUUAGCGGCGGACGGGUGAGUAACACGUGGAUAACCUACCUAUAAGACUGGGAUAACUUCGGGAAACCGGAGCUAAUACCGGAGGAUAUUUUGAACCGCAUGGUUCAAAAGUGAAAGACGGUCUUGCUGUCACUUAUAGAUGGAUCCGCGCUGGAUUAGCUAGUUGGUAAGGUAACGGCUUACCAAGGCAACGAUGCAUAGCCGACCUGAGAGGGUGAUCGGCCACACUGGAACUGAGACACGGUCCAGACUCCUACGGGAGGCAGCAGUAGGGAAUCUUCCGCAAUGGGCGCAAGCCUGACGGAGCAACGCCGCGUGAGUGAUGAAGGUCUUCGGAUCGUAAAACUCUGUUAUUAGGGAAGAACAUAUGUGUAAGUAACUGUGCCCAUCUUGACGGUACCUAAUCAGAAAGCCACGGCUAACUACGUG
RNAcentral lists this ribosomal RNA (497 nucleotides) under uncultured bacterium. RNAcentral's name for it is "partial 16S ribosomal RNA". It matches the Rfam family "Bacterial small subunit ribosomal RNA", at positions 28 to 507 of the family's 1533-position model. The record is from RNAcentral.